RNAcentral lists this ribosomal RNA (2054 nucleotides) under Salmonella enterica subsp. enterica serovar Enteritidis. RNAcentral's name for it is "partial 23S ribosomal RNA". It matches the Rfam family "Bacterial large subunit ribosomal RNA", at positions 761 to 2796 of the family's 2925-position model. Lineage: Bacteria; Pseudomonadati; Pseudomonadota; Gammaproteobacteria; Enterobacterales; Enterobacteriaceae. The record is from RNAcentral.
ACUAACUGGAGGACCGAACCGACUAAUGUUGAAAAAUUAGCGGAUGACCUGUGGCUGGGGGUGAAAGGCCAAUCAAACCGGGAGAUAGCUGGUUCUCCCCGAAAGCUAUUUAGGUAGCGCCUCGUGAAUUCAUCUCCGGGGGUAGAGCACUGUUUCGGCUAGGGGGCCAUCCCGGCUUACCAACCCGAUGCAAACUGCGAAUACCGGAGAAUGUUAUCACGGGAGACACACGGCGGGUGCUAACGUCCGUCGUGAAGAGGGAAACAACCCAGACCGCCAGCUAAGGUCCCAAAGUCAUGGUUAAGUGGGAAACGAUGUGGGAAGGCCCAGACAGCCAGGAUGUUGGCUUAGAAGCAGCCAUCAUUUAAAGAAAGCGUAAUAGCUCACUGGUCGAGUCGGCCUGCGCGGAAGAUGUAACGGGGCUAAACCAUGCACCGAAGCUGCGGCAGCGACACUGUGUGUUGUUGGGUAGGGGAGCGUUCUGUAAGCCUGUGAAGGUGUGUCGUGAGGCAUGCUGGAGGUAUCAGAAGUGCGAAUGCUGACAUAAGUAACGAUAAAGCGGGUGAAAAGCCCGCUCGCCGGAAGACCAAGGGUUCCUGUCCAACGUUAAUCGGGGCAGGGUGAGUCGACCCCUAAGGCGAGGCCGAAAGGCGUAGUCGAUGGGAAACGGGUUAAUAUUCCCGUACUUGGUGUUACUGCGAAGGGGGGACGGAGAAGGCUAUGUUGGCCGGGCGACGGUUGUCCCGGUUUAAGCGUGUAGGUGUGUGUUCCAGGUAAAUCCGGUUCACUUUAACACUGAGGCGUGACGACGAGGCACUACGGUGCUGAAGCAACAAAUGCCCUGCUUCCAGGAAAAGCCUCUAAGCAUCAGGUAACAUCAAAUCGUACCCCAAACCGACACAGGUGGUCAGGUAGAGAAUACCAAGGCGCUUGAGAGAACUCGGGUGAAGGAACUAGGCAAAAUGGUGCCGUAACUUCGGGAGAAGGCACGCUGACACGUAGGUGAAGUGAUUUACUCAUGGAGCUGAAGUCAGUCGAAGAUACCAGCUGGCUGCAACUGUUUAUUAAAAACACAGCACUGUGCAAACACGAAAGUGGACGUAUACGGUGUGACGCCUGCCCGGUGCCGGAAGGUUAAUUGAUGGGGUCAGCGCAAGCGAAGCUCCUGAUCGAAGCCCCGGUAAACGGCGGCCGUAACUAUAACGGUCCUAAGGUAGCGAAAUUCCUUGUCGGGUAAGUUCCGACCUGCACGAAUGGCGUAAUGAUGGCCAGGCUGUCUCCACCCGAGACUCAGUGAAAUUGAACUCGCUGUGAAGAUGCAGUGUACCCGCGGCAAGACGGAAAGACCCCGUGAACCUUUACUAUAGCUUGACACUGAACAUUGAGCCUUGAUGUGUAGGAUAGGUGGGAGGCUUUGAAGUGUGGACGCCAGUCUGCAUGGAGCCGACCUUGAAAUACCACCCUUUAAUGUUUGAUGUUCUAACGUGGACCCGUUACCCGGGUUGCGGACAGUGUCUGGUGGGUAGUUUGACUGGGGCGGUCUCCUCCUAAAGAGUAACGGAGGAGCACGAAGGUUGGCUAAUCCUGGUCGGACAUCAGGAGGUUAGUGCAAUGGCAUAAGCCAGCUUGACUGCGAGCGUGACGGCGCGAGCAGGUGCGAAAGCAGGUCAUAGUGAUCCGGUGGUUCUGAAUGGAAGGGCCAUCGCUCAACGGAUAAAAGGUACUCCGGGGAUAACAGGCUGAUACCGCCCAAGAGUUCAUAUCGACGGCGGUGUUUGGCACCUCGAUGUCGGCUCAUCACAUCCUGGGGCUGAAGUAGGUCCCAAGGGUAUGGCUGUUCGCCAUUUAAAGUGGUACGCGAGCUGGGUUUAGAACGUCGUGAGACAGUUCGGUCCCUAUCUGCCGUGGGCGCUGGAGAACUGAGGGGGGCUGCUCCUAGUACGAGAGGACCGGAGUGGACGCAUCACUGGUGUUCGGGUUGUCAUGCCAAUGGCACUGCCCGGUAGCUAAAUGCGGAAGAGAUAAGUGCUGAAAGCAUCUAAGCACGAAACUUG